GGAGAGUUGGCAGAGCGGUUGAAUGCACCGGUCUUGAAAACCGGCAGGGCCUCGCGGUCCUCGUGAGUUCGAAUCUCACACUCUCCGCCA
This 90-nucleotide transfer RNA is filed under the name Burkholderiales bacterium. Its description in RNAcentral is "tRNA-Ser". It matches the Rfam family "tRNA". From Rfam's summary of the family: Transfer RNA (tRNA) molecules are approximately 80 nucleotides in length. Their secondary structure includes four short double-helical elements and three loops (D, anti-codon, and T loops). Further hydrogen bonds mediate the characteristic L-shaped molecular structure. tRNAs have two regions of fundamental functional importance: the anti-codon, which is responsible for specific mRNA codon recognition, and the 3' end, to which the tRNAs corresponding amino acid is attached (by aminoacyl-tRNA synthetases). tRNAs cope with the degeneracy of the genetic code in two manners: having more than one tRNA (with a specific anti-codon) for a particular amino acid; and 'wobble' base-pairing, i.e. permitting non-standard base-pairing at the 3rd anti-codon position. Lineage: Bacteria; Pseudomonadati; Pseudomonadota; Betaproteobacteria; Burkholderiales. RNAcentral also lists the same sequence under 1 other name. The record is from RNAcentral.